AGUUCGAGUUGGUGAUAUUUUGGAACUGAGUGUGGUUCCUUCGAUAUCAAUGUAUUCUAAGACAUGAUACUUUUUGUGUGUGUUAGUGUUAUAUACGGGACUAGCUAACAGUCGUGGGUCGUGGGUAGAAUGUCGUGAGUCGUGGGUAAAAAGUCGUGGGUCGUGGGUAAAAAGGCGUGGGUCGUGAGUAAAAAGGCGUGGGUCGUGGGUAAAAAGGCGUGGGUCGUGGGUAAAAAGGCGUGGGCCGUGGGCAAAAAGGCGUGGGUCGUGGGUAAAAAGGCGUGGGUCCCGAAUACAAAGUCGUGAGUUCCAAGCAAAGUAUUUCCAUACAUUUACCUUUCCACCUUUCUUUGGAAUGCGUGUUUUUUUUCU
This is a non-coding RNA of Paramuricea clavata, 372 nucleotides long. Lineage: Eukaryota; Metazoa; Cnidaria; Anthozoa; Malacalcyonacea; Plexauridae. The record is from the annotation of a GenBank genome assembly.